RNAcentral lists this ribosomal RNA (880 nucleotides) under uncultured Podaxis. RNAcentral describes it as "eukaryotic LSU rRNA". It matches the Rfam family "Eukaryotic large subunit ribosomal RNA", at positions 72 to 939 of the family's 3401-position model. Lineage: Eukaryota; Fungi; Basidiomycota; Agaricomycetes; Agaricales; Agaricaceae. The record is from RNAcentral.
GGAUUCCCCUAGUAACUGCGAGUGAAGCGGGAAAAGCUCAAAUUUAAAAUCUGGCGGUCUCUGGCCGUCCGAGUUGUAAUCUAGAGAAGUGUUACCCGCGCUGGACCGUGUACAAGUCCCCUGGAAUGGGGCGUCAUAGAGGGUGAGAAUCCCGUCUCUGACACGGACUACCAGGGCUUUGUGGUAUGCUCUCAAAGAGUCGAGUUGUUUGGGAAUGCAGCUCAAAAUGGGUGGUAAAUUCCAUCUAAAGCUAAAUAUUGGCGAGAGACCGAUAGCGAACAAGUACCGUGAGGGAAAGAUGAAAAGAACUUUGGAAAGAGAGUUAAACAGUACGUGAAAUUGCUGAAAGGGAAACGCUUGAAGUCAGUCGCGUUGGCCGGGAAUCAGCCUCGCUUUUGUGUGGUGUACUUUCUGGUUGACGGGUCAGCAUCAAUUUUGACUGCUGGAAAAAGGCUUGGGGAAUGUGGCAGCUCCGGCUGUGUUAUAGCCCCUUGUCACAUACAGCGGUUGGGAUUGAGGAACUCAGCACGCCGCAAGGCCGGGUUUCGACCACGUUCGUGCUUAGGAUGCUGGCAUAAUGGCUUUAAGCGACCCGUCUUGAAACACGGACCAAGGAGUCUAACAUGCCUGCGAGUGUUUGGGUGGAAAACCCGAGCGCGUAAUGAAAGUGAAAGUUGAGAUCCCUGUCGUGGGGAGCAUCGACGCCCGGACCAGAACUUUUGGGACGGAUCCGCGGUAGAGCAUGUAUGUUGGGACCCGAAAGAUGGUGAACUAUGCCUGAAUAGGGUGAAGCCAGAGGAAACUCUGGUGGAGGCUCGUAGCGAUUCUGACGUGCAAAUCGAUCGUCAAAUUUGGGUAUAGGGGCGAAAGACUAAUCGAA